UAAAUUAGGCAGUUUUAUUCGUUUUAGGAUAUUUCAUAAAUGCAAUUGAAAAAGACAAGCAAAAAAUAAGGAGUUUAAUUAAUGAAGUAAGAACAUUUUUAAAUGGUACUUCUCUUUUAAUAAUAUAGACGUGGAUAUCAUCUCCUUAUAAGUAGCCAUUAGGGUUUGGGCUUAUAGUGCUUUUUAAAUAAAUGGGUCUAGCCCAAUUUGAUCUGAAGAUAAAGAUUGAUCAAAUACACUAUAUGGAGAUGCGUUUAUUUUACAUGCCAUUCACACUCACUACUCGAAGCCUCGAGCUAUACUUAGAUUAAUAAUGGUCUCAUAAGAAAAUCGAGAUCACCAUAUCCCAUGUUUUACGUACUUAAUCUUA
Molecule: long non-coding RNA, 370 nt
Filed under: Brassica napus (rape)
Lineage: Eukaryota; Viridiplantae; Streptophyta; Magnoliopsida; Brassicales; Brassicaceae
Description: long non-coding RNA (BNAP_LNC015825)
Source: RNAcentral